GUCUUUGUUUAGAACCAAAUGAUAGUGUGUCUGUGUGUAUAUCUAAUUGUUAUUGUGUCUUUGUGUACAUCUAACUAUUAGUGUGUGUCUUUGUUUAGAACCAAAUGUUAGUGUGUCUGUGUGUACAUCUAAUUGUUAGUUGUCCUGAUGGCGUCCCGAUGACGUGGCGUCCUGAUGGCGUCCCGAUGACGUGGCGUCCUGAUGGCGUCCUGUUGGUCUGCAGACAAGGAGAAGAGACGUGAGGAGGAUCAUCAGGAUGUGUUCGUUUGUACAUCUAAUUGUUAGUGUGUCUGUGUGUACAUGUAAUUGUUAGUGUG
Molecule: long non-coding RNA, 317 nt
Organism: Gasterosteus aculeatus aculeatus (three-spined stickleback)
Lineage: Eukaryota; Metazoa; Chordata; Actinopteri; Perciformes; Gasterosteidae
Source: Ensembl